UUUAACUUGAUCCGAAACCGAAAGGGGGCUUUNGUUUCACUUAUAGAUGGACCCGCGGCGCAUUAGCUAGUUGGUGAGGUAACGGCUCACCAAGGCGACGAUGCGUAGCCGACCUGAGAGGGUGAUCGGCCACACUGGGACUGAGACACGGCCCAGACUCCUACGGGAGGCAGCAGUAGGGAAUCUUCGGCAAUGGGCGAAAGCCUGACCGAGCAACGCCGCGUGAGCGAUGAAGGCCUUCGGGUCGUAAAGCUCUGUUGUUAGGGAAGAACAAGUAUCAGUUGAAUAAGCUGGUACCUUGACGGUACCUAACGAGAAAGCCACGGCUAACUACGUGCCAGCCGCGC
RNAcentral lists this ribosomal RNA (347 nucleotides) under uncultured bacterium. Its description in RNAcentral is "bacterial SSU rRNA". It matches the Rfam family "Bacterial small subunit ribosomal RNA", at positions 183 to 518 of the family's 1533-position model. The record is from RNAcentral.